GACGAACGCUGGCGGCGUGCUUAACACAUGCAAGUCGAACGGAAAGGCCCUGCUUUUGUGGGGUGCUCGAGUGGCGAACGGGUGAGUAACACGUGAGUAACCUGCCCUUGACUUUGGGAUAACUUCAGGAAACUGGGGCUAAUACCGGAUAGGAGCUCCUGCUGCAUGGUGGGGGUUGGAAAGUUUCGGCGGUUGGGGAUGGACUCGCGGCUUAUCAGCUUGUUGGUGGGGUAGUGGCUUACCAAGGCUUUGACGGGUAGCCGGCCUGAGAGGGUGACCGGCGACAUUGGGACUGAGAGACGGCCCAGACUCCUACGGGAGGCAGCAGUGGGGAAUAUUGCACAAUGGGCGGGAGCCUGAUGCAGCAACGCCGCGUGCGGGAUAACGGCCUUCGGGUUGUGAACAGCUUUCGCCUGUGACGAAGCGUGAGUGACGGUAAUGGGUAAAGAAGCAACGGCUAACUACGUG
This 468-nucleotide ribosomal RNA is filed under the name uncultured bacterium. RNAcentral's name for it is "partial 16S ribosomal RNA". It matches the Rfam family "Bacterial small subunit ribosomal RNA", at positions 28 to 507 of the family's 1533-position model. The record is from RNAcentral.